GUAGGUGGCAAGCGUUGUCCGGAAUUAUUGGGCGUAAAGCGCGCGCAGGCGGUUCUUUAAGUCUGAUGUGAAAGCCCACGGCUCAACCGUGGAGGGUCAUUGGAAACUGGAGAACUUGAGUACAGAAGAGGAAAGCGGAAUUCCACGUGUAGCGGUGAAAUGCGUAGAGAUGUGGAGGAACACCAGUGGCGAAGGCGGCCUUCUGGUCUGUAACUGACGCUGAGGCGCGAAAGCGUGGGGAGCAAACAGGAUUAGAUACCCUGGUAGUCCACGCCGUAAACGAUGAGUGCUAGGUGUUAGGGGGUUUCCGCCCCCCUUAGUGCUGCAGCUAACGCAUUAAGCACUCCGCCUGGGAGUACGGCCGCAAGGCUGA
RNAcentral lists this ribosomal RNA (373 nucleotides) under uncultured organism. Its description in RNAcentral is "partial 16S ribosomal RNA". It matches the Rfam family "Bacterial small subunit ribosomal RNA", at positions 527 to 897 of the family's 1533-position model. The record is from RNAcentral.